This 769-nucleotide long non-coding RNA is filed under the name Apteryx owenii (little spotted kiwi). RNAcentral's name for it is "lncRNA (ENSAOWG00000011909.1)". The record is from RNAcentral. Lineage: Eukaryota; Metazoa; Chordata; Aves; Apterygiformes; Apterygidae.
ACUCAGUUUUAAUACUCCUUCACUUUCCUCUCCCAUCUCUGUCCAGACUAAGAAAUCUCUUCAGCAUCAAAAUCCUGGCUGAUAAAUGGAUUACACUGGCAGAUGUCUCUCUACUGGUCAUCUUUCAGUCACCUAUCAGAAAAGUCACUAAAGCACCUCUCUCGUUGCACCUUCCCGUUUGUCUGCGUUUUGUCCCUGGUACUGCUGCAGGUAAUCAUGGCCAUGGCUGCUCCAAACACUCCUGUUUAUGCAUGGUGAUGGUAACACUAUCGCUGGUGGCUGAUGCCUGCCGUUGCCAAAGCCAACCGCACUGAGCGCCGGGCGAAGCUGACUGCUCCAGGAUGCAACGCCCACGGGGUCAAGCCAGCUUCGGUACGUUGGUGGGCUGCAGACCGUGGUGCAAGGAAAUGCUGAAACAAGACAUCAGUGGCGGGCUGUGUGCAGGAGACCUGGCAGGGACCAGGAGCAAGCCGUGUCAUGAGAGGUGUGAGGGACUAUCUCCAAAUGGGCUAAUGCACCAUAUGAUGAGGAGUGCAAGCGUGCUGUAAAAAAAAGGUGCUGACACAGGGUUAUUUCUGUCCUGUUAUCUCUGUGUCUACCUUCUCUUAGUCAUGGUAUUUCAGGUAUGUAUCAGGGGAGCCUUGGACUGCUUCAUCUGUAUGUACAAAUCACAUGAAUGUGGUUUUUUUCAGAUCAGCUGUUGGUAUUAUAUAGUACUGAGCAAACCUCAUGUGCUUGUUUUCUGUUUCACUUUCUGAGUCUUGGGACA